AUGUGCGGGCAUGAGGAUGAGACCCUGCUACAUGCAUUGGUGCAGUGUGUGCAUGCUUCCACAUACUGGGCCGAGGCAGAGAAAUUCUUCGGGAUCAUACUUCCCCAGUUGAUCCCAGGAACUUGGACGAGAGAUAUUCUGGACCCUCAGUUUCUGUCUAGUGACAAGGCAGCAAUUGCAAUUAUGGUUAUGUGGGCAGUGUGGAACAGCAGAAACAAAUAUUCGCAUGGAGAGAUUCAGUAUCAGCCCAUUCGUUCAAUGGAGCUAGUGCAGGAGAUGAUUAGAUCUCUUGAUAUUCCAGGCAAGGAGAAGAGCUCAGGUCCCAAGCGGCCGGUUUGGCGCCCACCUGUUGGAGGGAUUGUCAAGCUGAACACAGACAUAGCAACCAAUGUGUCCAAUGGGGAGUCUGGGGGUUCGAUUAUAGCACGCGAUAACCAGGGGUCCUUCCUUGGCGCUAGGUAG
RNAcentral lists this ribosomal RNA (462 nucleotides) under Triticum aestivum (bread wheat). RNAcentral describes it as "partial small subunit ribosomal RNA". Lineage: Eukaryota; Viridiplantae; Streptophyta; Magnoliopsida; Poales; Poaceae. The record is from RNAcentral.